Molecule: long non-coding RNA, 433 nt
Organism: Sinocyclocheilus rhinocerous
Lineage: Eukaryota; Metazoa; Chordata; Actinopteri; Cypriniformes; Cyprinidae
Exons: 2
Source: RefSeq, a predicted model, not a curated record
UUUGACUGAAUGGUAUGGUUCUAUGGCAUCGCUAGUGUACAUUAUCAGCAACCUCAUCCUCCUCUUCCUCAUAGUCUUCUGUUUGAUUGGGAAAGAAGGCAGUUUCUAAUUCAGAGUAAUGCAAGAAUGAACAAAAGCCUAACUGAUGCAUUCAUCUGUAUAUAGACAGCUUGCGCUUUACAGAAGCAAGUCCCUGGCUUAUGCAACUUGCUGUACUUCUACAAAAAGUGUAACAAUUUGUUGUUUUAAAGUGCAUUAUCUUACAUUGGCACUAUCUGAAAUACUAAUCGAACACUAAAAGCCAUUUAGUGACUCUACCUCCUCUAAAGAUGAACAAUUAGUUACACAAAAGAUUGAAUACAGAAAAAAAAAUACAUUCUUAAACAAAAUAAAGAUUAGAGUCAAUACAACUUAGAUAAUCCAAUAAAAAAAA